This 253-nucleotide ribosomal RNA is filed under the name uncultured bacterium. RNAcentral describes it as "partial 16S ribosomal RNA". It matches the Rfam family "Bacterial small subunit ribosomal RNA", at positions 524 to 776 of the family's 1533-position model. The record is from RNAcentral.
UACGUAGGUGGCAAGCGUUAUCCGGAAUUAUUGGGCGUAAAGCGCGCGCAGGCGGUUUCUUAAGUCUGAUGUGAAAGCCCACGGCUCAACCGUGGAGGGUCAUUGGAAACUGGGGAACUUGAGUGCAGAAGAGAAAAGCGGAAUUCCACGUGUAGCGGUGAAAUGCGUAGAGAUGUGGAGGAACACCAGUGGUGAAGGCGGCUUUUUGGUCUGUAACUGACGCUGAGGCGCGAAAGCGUGGGGAGCAAACAGG